RNAcentral lists this ribosomal RNA (465 nucleotides) under uncultured bacterium. RNAcentral describes it as "partial 16S ribosomal RNA". It matches the Rfam family "Bacterial small subunit ribosomal RNA", at positions 28 to 507 of the family's 1533-position model. The record is from RNAcentral.
GACGAACGCUGGCGGCGUGCUUAACACAUGCAAGUCGAACGGAAAGGCCCUGCUUGCAGGGUUCUCGAGUGGCGAACGGGUGAGUAACACGCGGGUGAUUAGCCCUGCUCUUCGGGUUAAGCCUCGGAAACUGGGUGUAACACCGGACAGGAGAUAUAUUUAACGUGAUGGUUGGAAAGUUUUUUCGGGGUUGGAUGAGCUUUAGGCCUAUCUGCUUGUUGGUGGGGUAAUGGCCUACCAAGGCGGCGGAGGGUAGCCGGACUGAGUGGGUGGCCGGCCACAUUGGGACUGAGAGACGGCCCAAGCUCCUACGGGAGGCAACAGGGGGGAAGAUUGCACAAGCGGCGCAAGGCUAAUGCUGCAAGGCCGCGUGGGGGAUGACGGCCUUCGGGUUGUAAACUCCUUUCGCUAGGGACGAAGCUUUUUGUGACGGUACCUAGAUAAGAAGCACCGGCUAACUACGUG